UAAUACGGAGGGUGCAAGCGUUAAUCGGAAUUACUGGGCGUAAAGCGCACGCAGGCGGUUUGUUAAGUCAGAUAUGAAAUCCCCGGGCUCAACCUGGGAACUGCAUUUGAAACUGGCAAGCUAGAGUCUCGUAGAGGGGGGUAGAAUUCCAGGUGUAGCGGUGAAAUGCGUAGAGAUCUGGAGGAAUACCGGUGGCGAAGGCGGCCCCCUGGACGAAGACUGACGCUCAGGUGCGAAAGCGUGGGGAGCAAACAGGAUUAGAUACCCUGGUAGUCCACGCUGUAAACGAUGUCGAUUUGGAGGUUGUGCCCUUGAGGCGUGGCUUCCGGAGCUAACGCGUUAAAUCGACCGCCUGGGGAGUACGGCCGCAAGGUUA
This 376-nucleotide ribosomal RNA is filed under the name uncultured Serratia sp. RNAcentral describes it as "bacterial SSU rRNA". It matches the Rfam family "Bacterial small subunit ribosomal RNA", at positions 521 to 896 of the family's 1533-position model. Lineage: Bacteria; Pseudomonadati; Pseudomonadota; Gammaproteobacteria; Enterobacterales; Yersiniaceae. The record is from RNAcentral.